UAUUGGGCGUGAGAGCUCGUAGGCGGUUUGUCGCGUCUGCUGUGAAAUCCCGAGGCUCAACCUCGGGUCUGCAGUGGGUACGGGCAGACUAGAGUGCGGUAGGGGAGAUUGGAAUUCCUGGUGUAGCGGUGGAAUGCGCAGAUAUCAGGAGGAACACCGAUGGCGAAGGCAGAUCUCUGGGCCGUAACUGACGCUGAGGAGCGAAAGCAUGGGGAGCGAACAGGAUUAGAUACCCUGGUAGUCCAUGCCGUAAACGUUGGGAACUAGAUGUGGGGACCAUUCCACGGUCUCCGUGUCGCAGCUAACGCAUUAAGUUCCCCGCCUGGGGAGUACGGCCGCAAGGCUAAAACUCAAAGGAAUUGACGGGGGCCCGCACAAGCGGCGGAGCAUGCGGAUUAAUUCGAUGCAACGCGAAGAACCUUACCAAGGCUUGACAUAUACCGGAAACAUGCAGAGAUGUGUGCCCCGCAAGGUCGGUAUACAGGUGGUGCAUGGUUGUCGUCAGCUCGUGUCGUGAGAUGUUGGGUUAAGUCCCGCAACGAGCGCAACCCUCGUUCUAUGUUGCCAGCACGUAAUGGUGGGAACUCAUAGGAGACUGCCGGGGUCAACUCGGAGGAAGGUGGGGAUGACGUCAAAUCAUCAUGCCCCUUAUGUCUUGGGCUUCACGCAUGCUACAAUGGCCGGUACAAAGGGCUGCGAUACCGUAAGGUGGAGCGAAUCCCAAAAAGCCGGUCUCAGUUCGGAUUGAGGUCUGCAACUCGACCUCAUGAAGUCGGAGUCGCUAGUAAUCGCAGAUCAGCAACGCUGCGGUGAAUACGUUCCCGGGCCUUGUACACACCGCCCGUCAAGUCAUGAAAGUCGGUAACACCCGAAGCCAGUGGCCUAACCGCAAGGGAGGAGCUGUCGAAGUGGGAUCGGUGAUUAUGACGAAGUCGUACAGGGGUAACC
This 948-nucleotide ribosomal RNA is filed under the name Clavibacter sp. RNAcentral describes it as "bacterial SSU rRNA". It matches the Rfam family "Bacterial small subunit ribosomal RNA", at positions 552 to 1501 of the family's 1533-position model. The record is from RNAcentral. Lineage: Bacteria; Bacillati; Actinomycetota; Actinomycetes; Micrococcales; Microbacteriaceae.